This 279-nucleotide long non-coding RNA is filed under the name Lathyrus oleraceus (garden pea). RNAcentral describes it as "Pisum sativum (pea) long non-coding RNA (PSAT_LNC042266)". The record is from RNAcentral. Lineage: Eukaryota; Viridiplantae; Streptophyta; Magnoliopsida; Fabales; Fabaceae.
AGAGAGAAGUGAUUACUGCAUUAACUUUGGAUGAGAAUGCAUCCAAUACAUUUAUACAAGUGUUACAAUAUGAUUGGAAUCCAAAACAAACAUAUGAAUAACAGAAAAAGUGCAAAACUCGGGCUUGUAACCGAUUACACCAUUUGUUUAACCGGUUAUAACUGGCAUUGAAUUAAAUGACAUUCACUGGUAACCGGUUAACGCCUGAGGUUAACCUGUUACAGCUGCUAAUAUUUGCCUUUCCUGCUACUUCAGAAUUGAAACUGCUGAUGUUAUAAC